UUGCGGUAAAAAAGCUCGUAGUUGGAUUUCUACCGAAGAUAGCCGGUCGGGUCUUCGACCUUGUAUCUGGUUUUGUCUUUGGUAUCCUCAUGGGGAACGUUGCUGCGCUUCAUUGCGUGGUGCGGUAUCCAUGACUUUUACUUUGAGGAAAUUAGAGUGUUCACGGCAGGCAAACGCCCUGAAUAUAUUAGCAUGGAAUAAUAACAUAGGAUCUUCGUCCUAUUUUGUUGGUUUCUAGGGCUAAGAUAAUGAUUAAUAGGGACAAUUGGGGGCAUUCGUAUUAACGCGUCAGUGGUGGAAUUCUUGGAUUGCGUUACGACGAACUACUGCGAAAGCAUUUGCCAAAGAUGUUUUCAUUGAUCAAGAACGAAAGUAUGGGGAUCGAAGACGCUUAGACACCGUCGUAGUCUAUACCAUAAACUAUGCCAACUAGAGAUCGGUGGGGUUAUCCUAAUGUGGCUCCAUCGGCAUCUUAUGAGAAAAUCAAAGUUUUUGGGUUCCCGGGGGGAGUAUGGUCGCAAAGGCUGAAACUU
Molecule: ribosomal RNA, 533 nt
Filed under: uncultured marine eukaryote
Lineage: Eukaryota
Description: bacterial SSU rRNA
Rfam family: Eukaryotic small subunit ribosomal RNA
Source: RNAcentral